Etheostoma cragini (Arkansas darter) is the source of this 438-nucleotide long non-coding RNA. RefSeq lists it as uncharacterized. NCBI's taxonomy places the organism in Eukaryota, Metazoa, Chordata, Actinopteri, Perciformes, Percidae. The transcript has 3 exons. The record is from RefSeq and is a predicted model, not a curated record.
GGUGUCAGUGAAGUAGCGCUGUGUGCAUGGACCAGUGUUGUACAAGCCACACAUGUGUUGUACCAGUCAGUACAUUACUCCCAACUUAAAAUCCCAUAUGUUCCCCCUGUACUUACCUGUGUGCAGAGGGCAGGCAGCAGGGGCACAAACCAAGAACGGUGCACAACCAGGCCCGGGAGAGAAAAUGUCUGAUGUCCACAAAACCAAAUCAAAAGAGGAACACACUGUACAAAGACAACAGUGGAGAGCUGCUGCAGCUGUCUGUUCUCAAAGUGCCCGAGAUCUACCAGGACGUCACCCGUCACCCGCAUAAUCCAAGGGAUAAAAGAGAGAACAACCGGUUGUGUUCUCUGCUUACAUGAAUAUGUGCCUGUAAUGUCUGCCAACAUACACAACGAAUUCAAUAAAUGUUGAUACGUAUCACUGAUAUUUCUUAAA